This 454-nucleotide ribosomal RNA is filed under the name uncultured Rikenellaceae bacterium. Its description in RNAcentral is "partial 16S ribosomal RNA". It matches the Rfam family "Bacterial small subunit ribosomal RNA", at positions 341 to 792 of the family's 1533-position model. The record is from RNAcentral. Lineage: Bacteria; Pseudomonadati; Bacteroidota; Bacteroidia; Bacteroidales; Rikenellaceae.
ACGGAAGGCAGCAGUGAGGAAUAUUGGUCAAUGGACGCAAGUCUGAACCAGCCAUGCCGCGUGCAGGAAUAAGGCCCUAUGGGUCGCAAACUGCUUUUGUGGUGGAGCAAUAAGUCGUACGUGUACGGCGAUGAGAGUACAUCACGAAUAAGCAUCGGCUAACUCCGUGCCAGCAGCCGCGGUAAUACGGAGGAUGCAAGCGUUAUCCGGAUUUAUUGGGUUUAAAGGGUGCGUAGGCUGUGGUCCAAGUCAGGGGUGAAAGCCCGGAGCUCAACUCCGGAACUGCCUUUGAUACUGGAUUGCUGGAAUACGGAUGCCGUGGGAGGAAUGAGUAGUGUAGCGGUGAAAUGCAUAGAUAUUACUCAGAACACCGAUUGCGAAGGCAUCUCACGAAUCCGUCAUUGACGCUGAGGCACGAAAGCGUGGGGAUCAAACAGGAUUAGAUACCCUGGUA